AUGGGCCCUGUUGUGGUAGACCCACAUGUCAUCGGUGUAACUAUUUACACUCCGAAGGACGCAGACGCAAAUGCGCUGGCCUUCAUGAUUCCAGAACCUGGAAUCAUACCAGCCGAUGGGUGGUGGUUUAUCGCUCGUUCAGCUGACGGCGUACCAUAUAACUGGAAUUACCGAUGCAAGUCGAAAAAGGAUUGGCCGGUGCUGCCGGCUGGCGUCAAGUUCGAUCCCACGGAUCAGGAGCUGAUCGAGCACCUUGAGGCCAAAAAUACUGCAGGUAUCACACUGAGUGGCCUAAGGAAGCAUUUCUUCCAGCGCAAUUCUAGGGCGUUCAAAUGGGGCACGUGGACGUGUCGCAAGAUACAGUCGGAGUGCGGCAUGCACGCGAUGUGGCACAAGACCGGCAAUACCUUGCCGGUGAUGGUCAACGGCCGGCAGACGGGCAGCAAAAAAGGUUCUGGUGCUGCACACCAACAAGAACUUCGACCAGCAGAGGACCAACUGGGUGAUGCACCAGUACCACCUCGGGGACCUGGAGCAAGAGAAGGAGCCGGAGCUGGUCCUCUGCAAGAUUUUCUACCAGACGAACAAUAG
This 591-nucleotide ribosomal RNA is filed under the name Triticum aestivum (bread wheat). RNAcentral describes it as "partial small subunit ribosomal RNA". Lineage: Eukaryota; Viridiplantae; Streptophyta; Magnoliopsida; Poales; Poaceae. The record is from RNAcentral.